AUUGUCCACUCCUACAUUGCAGGUGUUGUUGCUGUGUCACAUAUGUGUCAGUAGGUGGCAGAAAAGAGAUGUACUAUGUGUAUUCAGUAUUUCAGUAUUUUGACCUGUGAACACCUGACUGAUUAGUAGCCUAACAUU
Molecule: small nucleolar RNA, 138 nt
Organism: Grammomys surdaster
Lineage: Eukaryota; Metazoa; Chordata; Mammalia; Rodentia; Muridae
Product: small nucleolar RNA SNORA17
Exons: 1
Source: RefSeq, a predicted model, not a curated record